AACGAACGCUGGCGGCAUGCCUAACACAUGCAAGUCGAACGAUUGCCUUCGGGUGAUAGUGGCGCACGGGUGCGUAACGCGUGGGAAUCUGCCCUUAGGUUCGGAAUAACAGCUGGAAACGGCUGCUAAUACCGGAUGAUAUCGCGAGAUCAAAGAUUUAUCGCCUGAAGAUGAGCCCGCGUUGGAUUAGGUAGUUGGUGGGGUAAAGGCCUACCAAGCCGACGAUCCAUAGCUGGUCUGAGAGGAUGAUCAGCCACACUGGGACUGAGACACGGCCCAGACUCCUACGGGAGGCAGCAGUGGGGGAUAUUGGACAAUGGGCGCAAGCCUGAUCCAGCAAUGCCGCGUGAGUGAUGAAGGCGCUAGGGUUGUAAAGCUCUUUUACCCGGGAAGAUAAUGACUGUACCGGGAGAAUAAGCCCCGGCUAACUCCGUG
RNAcentral lists this ribosomal RNA (435 nucleotides) under uncultured bacterium. Its description in RNAcentral is "partial 16S ribosomal RNA". It matches the Rfam family "Bacterial small subunit ribosomal RNA", at positions 29 to 507 of the family's 1533-position model. The record is from RNAcentral.